Syntrophaceticus schinkii is the source of this 38-nucleotide regulatory RNA element. It matches the Rfam family "Selenocysteine insertion sequence 4". Lineage: Bacteria; Bacillati; Bacillota; Clostridia; Thermoanaerobacterales; Thermoanaerobacterales Family III. Incertae Sedis. The record is from Rfam.
GGGACCUGUACUCGUUGCGGUGCAACGAUGGUCAAAGA